Molecule: transfer RNA, 76 nt
Filed under: Alkalibacter rhizosphaerae
Lineage: Bacteria; Bacillati; Bacillota; Clostridia; Eubacteriales; Eubacteriaceae
Description: Alkalibacter sp. ES005 tRNA-Thr
Rfam family: tRNA
About the family: Transfer RNA (tRNA) molecules are approximately 80 nucleotides in length. Their secondary structure includes four short double-helical elements and three loops (D, anti-codon, and T loops).
Source: RNAcentral
GCUACCCUGGCUCAGAAGGUAGAGCAGCUCACUCGUAAUGAGCAGGUCACCGGUUCGAAUCCGGUGGGUAGCUCCA